UCUUGGUCAUUAGAGGAAGUAAAAGUCGUAACAAGGUUUCCGUAGGUGAACCUGCGGAAGGAUCAUUACAAAUGUCUGGGAUGUCCAAUCGGGCCCCCAAGCAAACACAUCCAUGUGUACACUCCCAUGUUGCUUCCCCAGAUCAGUGGCCACUGCUGCCAGCCCACCCCCUCAAUUGGGGUCCUGGGUUGAGGUGUCUGGGGAAGGGCCCAAUAACAAACCUUUGAACCAAUUCGUUGUCUGAGUAGGCCACCCGCCGCAAUCUUUAAAACAUGUUAAAACUUUCAACAACGGAUCUCUUGGCUCUCGCAUCGAUGAAGAACGCAGCGAAAUGCGAUAAGUAAUGUGAAUUGCAGAAUUCAGUGAAUCAUCGAAUCUUUGAACGCACAUUGCGCCCUUUGGUAUUCCUUAGGGCAUGCCUGUUCGAGCGUCACUAAAAACCCCCUCACAGAUAAUGUGGUAUUGGUAGAAGUGAACGGUACUUACAUUACCUUGUCUCACUCUGCUGAAAUGAAUAGGCCAGAGAAGUGGACCCAUGGUAAUUGACUCCAGGAGUGUUUUUCAAUGCUAAACUAGUCUUUACCCAAGUCAAAUUCUGAGCUACCGGACCUCCCAUUAAGUCCAAAACAGAGUGGUUGACCUCGGAUCAGGUAGGGAUACCCGCUGAACUUAAGCAUAUCAAUUAAG
This 687-nucleotide ribosomal RNA is filed under the name uncultured Tuber. RNAcentral describes it as "eukaryotic LSU rRNA". The stretch from base 280 to 433 matches the Rfam family "5.8S ribosomal RNA". Lineage: Eukaryota; Fungi; Ascomycota; Pezizomycetes; Pezizales; Tuberaceae. The record is from RNAcentral.